CUUUGACAAAUUUGAAGCGGAAUAUCAAGUCAAUUUUGCUUUACACAGGCACAGCUUCUCACAAAUUGCCCAAAUCAAGUAUAUAUAAAGGCCUAUAAACAACUCAAUCAAGUAAUCAACACAUGCCUCUAAAAUCACACAUUCACACUAUUCCCUUUCUUCACCGCCCGCACACCUGCUACGCAGGCUAAAUGUCACGUGACUGGACAAACUGACAACUUUUUUACCGUAACAAAGUGGCAAGCCAUAUAUGGCUUGCCACAAAAAUAGAAGGAUUCAAAGUUUUACGGUGGAAAUCAGCCUUUUGGAAGUCAAAACUCGAAAGAGGAACGCUUCACGUAGUUUACUUGUAAUAGAUAAAAACUCGUUUCGUUCUUUCAAUAAUCAUGGCUUGCUGUAUGUAUGUUAUUGCAAUGGGGACUUUUGUGGCCAAAUAUUGCUCGAAAUCGUUUUCUCUGGGUGUCCACCCAUUUGACAGGAUGGGUUAGGAUGAACCCUUUGGAUGAACACAGUUAAUUAUAAGACUAAGUACUAUCGCAAUUGUCGUAAAGAUAAAAAAGCGCAUUUGAUCAUAUAUCCACAUGUAAAUUUGCGCUGUAGAUGUGUUAAUCUUAAUCUCAAUCUUAAUAUAAAUUCACAAACAUAUGUGAAUAACAGGAAAUAGGAACUUAAAGUUUUACGUGCGUAUACGUACGUAUGCCGGAAAAACGCAACAGUGGAAAUUAACUCAUUUGGAAUACGAGCCGAAAUUCUGAGCUUUGUGUCAAUUGUGACAGCUUGACCAUGUUUAACAAAACAUUAGUCAUUACUAAUUUCAGAAAUAUUUUUUUCACAUUCAAAAUGACGUGAAAUUCCAGACCUCUCAACUCUCACGCAUUCGGCGUGAGUCUCACGCAAUUCGCUUCACUCUCACGCCACGUUC
This is a non-coding RNA of Paramuricea clavata, 922 nucleotides long. The record is from the annotation of a GenBank genome assembly. NCBI's taxonomy places the organism in Eukaryota, Metazoa, Cnidaria, Anthozoa, Malacalcyonacea, Plexauridae.